RNAcentral lists this ribosomal RNA (602 nucleotides) under Salmonella enterica subsp. enterica serovar Infantis. RNAcentral's name for it is "partial 23S ribosomal RNA". It matches the Rfam family "Bacterial large subunit ribosomal RNA", at positions 711 to 1229 of the family's 2925-position model. Lineage: Bacteria; Pseudomonadati; Pseudomonadota; Gammaproteobacteria; Enterobacterales; Enterobacteriaceae. The record is from RNAcentral.
AGACCCGAAACCCGGUGAUCUAGCCAUGGGCAGGUUGAAGGUUGGGUAACACUAACUGGAGGACCGAACCGACUAAUGUUGAAAAAUUAGCGGAUGACCUGUGGCUGGGGGUGAAAGGCCAAUCAAACCGGGAGAUAGCUGGUUCUCCCCGAAAGCUAUUUAGGUAGCGCCUCGUGAAUUCAUCUCCGGGGGUAGAGCACUGUUUCGGCUAGGGGGCCAUCCCGGCUUACCAACCCGAUGCAAACUGCGAAUACCGGAGAAUGUUAUCACGGGAGACACACGGCGGGUGCUAACGUCCGUCGUGAAGAGGGAAACAACCCAGACCGCCAGCUAAGGUCCCAAAGUCAUGGUUAAGUGGGAAACGAUGUGGGAAGGCCCAGACAGCCAGGAUGUUGGCUUAGAAGCAGCCAUCAUUUAAAGAAAGCGUAAUAGCUCACUGGUCGAGUCGGCCUGCGCGGAAGAUGUAACGGGGCUAAACCAUGCACCGAAGCUGCGGCAGCGAACGUAUCACUUAAAGCGAUUCAGCGGGUUACGAUUGACGGAGCGAAGCGACGUCAAAGCGUAUACAAAGUCGAGUCGGUUUAAGGAUACGUUCGUUGGGU